This 316-nucleotide unclassified non-coding RNA is filed under the name air metagenome. RNAcentral describes it as "partial contains small subunit ribosomal RNA, internal transcribed spacer 1, and 5.8S ribosomal RNA". The stretch from base 1 to 46 matches the Rfam family "Eukaryotic small subunit ribosomal RNA", at positions 1786 to 1831 of the family's 1831-position model. The record is from RNAcentral.
AAGUCGUAACAAGGUUUCCGUAGGUGAACCUGCGGAAGGAUCAUUGUCGAGUUCCUUUUCGAACAAUUGUGAAAUUGUGCUCAUACCCGACGAGUACUACGUGUUUCUGCUAUUAGUGCAUGCGUUGUCUUGGCGGGUUCCCUUUUGCUGCCUUCUUGUUGCUUUAUUUGAAGUGAAACGAAGAGCAGAAAUAAGACACCGGCACAGUUUGUGCCAAGGACAGUUAUUGUUGGAGUGCAUUGCCAUCGUUUCUAUGUGCUUUGUGAUAUUCUAGCGAGCAUCUGAAUGACUCCUGGCAAUGGAUAUCUUGGCUCUC